RNAcentral lists this ribosomal RNA (497 nucleotides) under uncultured bacterium. RNAcentral's name for it is "partial 16S ribosomal RNA". It matches the Rfam family "Bacterial small subunit ribosomal RNA", at positions 28 to 507 of the family's 1533-position model. The record is from RNAcentral.
GAUGAACGCUGGCGGCGUGCCUAAUACAUGCAAGUCGAGCGAACAGAUAAGGAGCUUGCUCCUUUGACGUUAGCGGCGGACGGGUGAGUAACACGUGGGUAACCUACCUAUAAGACUGGAAUAACUCCGGGAAACCGGGGCUAAUGCCGGAUAACAUUUAGAACCGCAUGGUUCUAAAGUGAAAGAUGGUUUUGCUAUCACUUAUAGAUGGACCCGCGCCGUAUUAGCUAGUUGGUAAGGUAACGGCUUACCAAGGCAACGAUACGUAGCCGACCUGAGAGGGUGAUCGGCCACACUGGAACUGAGACACGGUCCAGACUCCUACGGGAGGCAGCAGUAGGGAAUCUUCCGCAAUGGGCGAGAGCCUGACGGAGCAACGCCGCGUGAGUGAUGAAGGUCUUCGGAUCGUAAAACUCUGUUAUUAGGGAAGAACAAAUGUGUAAGUAACUGUGCACGUCUUGACGGUACCUAAUCAGAAAGCCACGGCUAACUACGUG